UUGGCGCAGGCUGCUGCGUUAUUAAGAAAGAAAGGACUUCUUGGUGUUAAAAUGGAUUCACCAAAGGUUAACAAAAAGAGUUCUCCAAAAGUUGUGAAACAAAGAGCACAAUGGAGUUUGGGACUUGAAAAAGGUCUGGUGGAGAUACUUAUGGAGCACGAUACUCCUUACCACCGAGGGCAAAAUGGAUGGAGCAAGGAAACUUGGAACUUGAUGGUGACAAAAUUCCAU
Molecule: long non-coding RNA, 231 nt
Organism: Hordeum vulgare subsp. vulgare (domesticated barley)
Lineage: Eukaryota; Viridiplantae; Streptophyta; Magnoliopsida; Poales; Poaceae
Exons: 2
Source: RefSeq, a predicted model, not a curated record